Molecule: non-coding RNA, 621 nt
Filed under: Pongo abelii (Sumatran orangutan)
Lineage: Eukaryota; Metazoa; Chordata; Mammalia; Primates; Hominidae
Source: RNAcentral
CACUGCGGCGCCCCGGCCCGGCAGUGCCAGCAGCAGGUCGGCACCGCCAGCGCCACGCUUCUCGGGGGCCCUGGUGUUCCAUGGGGUACCAAUCCAAAGGGUUCGGCUCAACUGGGUACGCGACGGCCUCUCGGGCUCCUCCUGCAAGCAGGGACUCGCCUGGCGCGCCCCACGCCUCCUGGACGCCGGCGCCUGCACGUUUCGGCGCUUCUGCAGGCCCAGGAAGCCAGAGGGGUCACCUGGAGGCCCGGCCCCGCCUCUCCUGCACCCCUCCGUUUGACAACAUAUCCACCGCCGUUUUUCCUUUCAAAAUACCCGGACCAAUCGAUUAGCCCUCGCCGGACUUGGACUGCAGGAAGUGAUUGAUCGGCUGAUUGGUUUAUUGAUUCAUUAACUACGGUGCCUCCCUGACCUUCUGCUCCUCGGACAGAGGACAAGCUCACAAUCCACACCCUCCUGAGAGAACCUGCUCUCGCCAUCCGCAGGUCUCCCUGGCCCAAUAGUGGGGACAUACCUGAGUUGAGCUAGAGGAUUUUAUCCCUGUUGGGAUGGGGGACGUCUCGGGAAGUGUGGUUUCUAAACUAAAAGACUGCAGGAAGUGUCAACUUUAGUGAUUGUCAU